GACGAACGCUGGCGGCGUGCCUAACACAUGCAAGUCGAGCGGUCCUGCAUUCAACAUUGAGUAUUCAGCAGGCGUUGGAGAUGUAACCAGCGUCAAGCAGAAACGACUAUAUAUUAUAAUUUUUUGAAGUUUCUGCUUCACGCCAAAUCAAGUGCCAACACAAAGGGAGCUGAGUAUUGAAUGUUGAAUGCAGGAUAGCGGCGGACGGGUGAGUAACGCGUGGGCAACCUGCCUCAUACAGGGGGAUAACACAGGGAAACUUGUGCUAAUACCGCAUAAUAUCAUUGGGUGGCAUCACCUGAUGAUCAAAGGAGCAAUCCGGUAUGAGAUGGGCCCGCGUCCGAUUAGCUAGUUGGUGAGGUAACGGCUCACCAAGGCGACGAUCGGUAGCCGAACUGAGAGGUUGAUCGGCCACAUUGGGACUGAGACACGGCCCAGACUCCUACGGGAGGCAGGCAGUGGGGAAU
This 467-nucleotide ribosomal RNA is filed under the name uncultured bacterium. Its description in RNAcentral is "bacterial SSU rRNA". It matches the Rfam family "Bacterial small subunit ribosomal RNA", at positions 28 to 362 of the family's 1533-position model. The record is from RNAcentral.